CAACAAGGGCAAUAUGAGGUAGCUCUGUCAUUACAGGCAGGAGAUGCUCUUGCUUCUAAUGGGAUGGGAGCGAGACAUGGAGAAUCUUGAAAAGAUUUCAAUGCAGAAACAAGAAAAAGUUUCACUGAGGUUAAGUAAUUUUCAGCAUUGCUGUUGAGAAAUGCCAUCUACCAUGGCUGAAAUCACUGACAAGAACAUGCCAGCAAGACCCAAUUUGACAGCAAAAAAAGGAAGGGGAAAAAAUGAUUGAUUGAUUGAUUGAUUGAUGAAAAGAAUUAUUACAGUGUUUCCAGCUGUUUCCAUCACUCAGCUCCUUUGCAAAAUAAGAAAGAAGAAUGUCUGAGCCACAGCUCUCCAAGUACAUGAACGCUGUGGCCGGGGGAGACUCGUGGCUAUGGCUAACUCUGAGGGGAAAAUAAAAUCACAAAGAAACAACUUCUGAAAGAAGGGAGGAAAAUGAGAAGGGAUUAAUCAACAAGCAGCUGCUGGAAACUGUGAUACGACGUUGUUUCUGUCUUGUAAGCAGUCUGUCUUGUAGGCAGGACUUGAAACUAUGGAGAUACAAUGGAGAUGUUCCAGACCUGCUAACAGACCCCCUUAGUCAUGGAAGCAGCAACCUGUAGUAAAUCAUCCUGAAGGCCAAUGAAAGGUUUUUAACAACUUUAUUAAUGAACUGGAGAGGGAGGAGAAUGUCAGUGACAUCAGUAGGAAAUGUUACAUUUGUGUGUGUUGCAGGCAGAAAAAUUGCUCAAAGGCAGUUGUGGAGAUUAAAAUGAUAAGGCAGAAUUACUACAGACUCGUUCAAUUUUGGGAACUGUAACUGUUGAAAGGGGAGCCAAAUACAUUGUUCCUCACAACACGUACAGUCUGUCCAGAGAACAAGAGGAACUGCACUCUUGUAGAAAUGGAAGUCCAGCAGACAAAUAUCAAGGGGAGAUCAGCUGUUGGCAAGGGAUGGCUGGGAUUGUUCCACUGACCUGUUCCAUAGCUAUUCCUGGAAAAAGGUGCAAAGAAAGAGGAAAAAAACCCUAAAUUAAUCCAAAUGAAAAGGCUGGCUGACAUGGUCUAUGGCUGUGGUGAGGUACUGCUAAGUAAACAAAGCAUAUGGUGUUCCCCAACUGUGUCCAGCUUGGGAAAGAUGUAAAAAAAGCCCCCACAUGCAGUCUGUCAUGGAACACUGAAAUAGGAGAGCAAAGAAGUGGCUGUAAAUGUGGAUGUGUGCAAAGAGAGUCAGAGUCUGCUGUUGGGAUAAACCACCAAAGGGCCUUGUCCUUCCCACCAAGAAGGGUUACCUGCUGGAAGGAGAAACUCUGACUUUGUGAAGGAGGAAUUAAGAUCAGCAGUGCAGGCAGGAGUGCAGCUGUGGUCUUGUAAGUAAAACAGUCUUGGAAGGGAGGCAGCUGAGAGGCUCUCCUCUGGAAACCUUCCUCCAGGUGGGUAACAACUCCAGUGUCUCAUUUUCUGUGGUAGAUUCAUAUUUAUGAAUUGAUCUUAUGUACUCAGGAGGUAGCAGAGAACAAGCUUUGCUGUCUAUUUCUAGCCUGCCAAACUAGUAUCAAGGGAGCUUAACUUCAAGUACUAGUAACUUCUUCAUAUAUUAAGAAAAAAAUAGUUUGACUGUGAAUACACACAUACUGUAGUAUUUUGUAAAUAAAAAUCUCCUUGGCUAUGGAAAUUUCUUCUAGCCUGUAAAAUACUCAUCUUCCUAAAGAUGACUGCACAUUUUUGAAUUGCCUUCUGUUUUAUAAGUUGUGCUACUGUUGCUGAAGGCUGCUGUCAGAAGUGGUUGCUGCAGCUGAAUGUGGAUGAACUAUAGCUACCGUCACCACAUUUUCCAGUGGUGCAGUCAAAUCUAGGAAAAAAAGAUUCUUUCUAAGUUCAUUUUCAGCAAUGAAUUUGAAAUGGAUUCAAAAAUACUGAGGUAAAAGGAACUACAAAACUUGUCUGAGCAAAAAGCAACAGAGACAUAGCCCAGACAAGCAAAGAUUUCAGCAUUGCAUCUCUGAGCCACUAACACAACUGUGUUGGUUGCGGCUCCCAUGACACACACGUCUUAAAACCUCAAAUAAAACUUAUGCAUCAGUACUCCUCCUUGUGAUCCACACCACAGAUUUGCAAGUGAAACAGAGCCCGGUGCUUGAAGCCAAAAGUAUGUGAUAAAAUGCAGAAGUCUGGAGGGAAGCGAGUCAGAGAUACCCAUGGAGGAGAAUAGUCUCUUGGAGGAGGCGAAUGCUAAGGGCCACCACCUUUAUGAAUGCAACAACCAGCAACUCAUCCAAUACACACUGGGAGCUGAUGUGACUUUUACUGAUGUGUGAACAGAACCACUUUCUGGGUGUGCAUUCAUAUGGAAGAAUAUAAGACAAG
Gallus gallus (chicken) is the source of this 2367-nucleotide long non-coding RNA. The record is from Ensembl. Lineage: Eukaryota; Metazoa; Chordata; Aves; Galliformes; Phasianidae.